This 253-nucleotide ribosomal RNA is filed under the name uncultured bacterium. RNAcentral describes it as "partial 16S ribosomal RNA". It matches the Rfam family "Bacterial small subunit ribosomal RNA", at positions 524 to 776 of the family's 1533-position model. The record is from RNAcentral.
UACGAAGGGGGCUAGCGUUGCUCGGAAUCACUGGGCGUAAAGGGCGCGUAGGCGGCCUGAUAAGUCGGGGGUGAAAGCCUGUGGCUCAACCACAGAAUUGCCUUCGAUACUGUUAGGCUUGAGACCGGAAGAGGUGAGUGGAACUGCGAGUGUAGAGGUGAAAUUCGUAGAUAUUCGCAAGAACACCAGUGGCGAAGGCGGCUCACUGGUCCGGUACUGACACUGAGGUGCGAAAGCGUGGGGAGCAAACAGG